AAGGUCGUAACAAGGUUUUUGCUAAGCAACAGUCCUUCUGUAGCAGAGCUUAACGGAGACCUUGCACCCGAGAGGGGGGACCGACUCUAAAGAACUCCCAGCGCAAGUCAGCACCGCUGGCAACACAAUCGAAUUGCGGGGACGCUUUAAAGCUCACCAGUACCAACUACUCUUCUAGGGUAGGGCUAGCACAGCUAGAGGUCACAAUCUGGUGGGAUGGUACAAUAAGCAAUCCGCAGCGGCUAAGCCGUCCACAGACUAAGUGGUUGUGGGUAGGAGACCCCCUAUCUAAGAUAUAGUCGGGCCUUGUGAGCAAUCACAGGGGUUCUGCGUCCGUAGGUGAACCUGCGGAAGGAUCAUUACAUAAAAGGGAUACCCUCACCGGUAUACCCCACCCGUGUCUAUCUACUCUUGUUGCUUUGGCAGGCCGUGGUCUCCCACUGUGGGCUUUGCCUGCAUGUGCCUGCCAGAGGACCGAAACUCUGAAUUUUCAGUGAUGUCUGAUGUAGCUAUAUAAUAUGUUAAAA
This 527-nucleotide unclassified non-coding RNA is filed under the name plant metagenome. RNAcentral describes it as "partial contains small subunit ribosomal RNA and internal transcribed spacer 1". The stretch from base 8 to 323 matches the Rfam family "Group I catalytic intron". Rfam says of the family: Group I catalytic introns are large self-splicing ribozymes. They catalyse their own excision from mRNA, tRNA and rRNA precursors in a wide range of organisms. The core secondary structure consists of 9 paired regions (P1-P9). The record is from RNAcentral.